UGCGCAAGUCAUUGGGACAUAAAGCGAAACCUAAAGGCAAAAUGAAAGUGAAUAUACGUGAGCGUGUGUGUGUGCCACUCACGUAGUGAGCGCGCGCGCGCUCACAGAGGGAGGAUGGGCCGACCCAUAGUUGGCCGGCCCCGCACUCCCAGGGCGUCUCGAGUUCAAUGCGAACUGAGGCGCACCUAGAGCGUACACGCUGGGACCCGAAAGAUGGUGAACUAUGCCUGGUCAGGACGAAGUCAGGGGAAACCCUGAUGGAGGUCCGUAGCGAUUCUGACGUGCAAAUCGAUCGUCGGAACUGGGUAUAGGGGCGAAAGACUAAUCGAACCAUCUAGUAGCUCGUUC
RNAcentral lists this ribosomal RNA (348 nucleotides) under Troglocharinus orcinus orcinus. RNAcentral describes it as "eukaryotic LSU rRNA". It matches the Rfam family "Eukaryotic large subunit ribosomal RNA", at positions 683 to 957 of the family's 3401-position model. Lineage: Eukaryota; Metazoa; Arthropoda; Insecta; Coleoptera; Leiodidae. The record is from RNAcentral.